Molecule: ribosomal RNA, 236 nt
Filed under: uncultured bacterium
Lineage: Bacteria
Description: partial 16S ribosomal RNA
Rfam family: Bacterial small subunit ribosomal RNA
Source: RNAcentral
CCGGCACGGGUGAGUAACACGUAUCCAACCUGCCGUCUACUCUUGGACAGCCUUCUGAAAGGAAGAUUAAUACAAGAUGGCAUCAUGAGUCCGCAUGUUCACAUGAUUAAAGGUAUUCCGGUAGACGAUGGGAUGCGUUCCAUUAGAUAGUAGGCGGGGUAACGGCCCACCUAGUCUUCGAUGGAUAGGGGUUCUGAGAGGAAGGUCCCCCACAUUGGAACUGAGACACGGUCCAA